AAUAUGCUGACGUCAGCCUGUUACGGCAUUGUUGUGAGGUGUUAUAGUGAAAGAAAUAUGUGCGUUAUACAGCUUUCUCCAUGUCUUUUUAUGUGAUAAAGUAUGAUAUGGUUUCAAGAAACUGGAAUCUGGAGUGGGCACAUCCUGUUACAGCACCACGUUCAAAUUCAUCAAGCUCUUUAGACCGAUCCAUUCUUUUACAAACAUGUGUAAAAGCACACGGCGUGGAUAGGUGUUUGAUUUUAUACACCUGUGGUAAUGGCACUGAACACACUCGAAUUCAAACGUUACUUUUGUCCAUAUCGUCUAUCUUGCUGUGGCAUUGAGAUCCAUCGAUCUGCGCUAGACUGUGAUUGUAUAAAAAAGACAAACUUUGUUGAGUUUGAUGAUGACCACUAUCAGGAGGCUGCUGCUAGAAAUGCUCUGCUGCUGCUUGGUUCCUUCCUGAAAUCAGAAUCAUGGAUGCCCUAAAGUGGCUCGUGAUGCUGUGCCACCCCUAAUUGUACAAUCAUAAUCCAUAACAUAUCUAAAAACUGAGCUACAUCAAUCCCACAUAGCAAAAUUGGUAUGGCCCAGAUCUGGCCCACACAAUGGGCUUACACAUGGCCCACAUACCGCAGAGAAUGACGGCCCUUUGGUUUGCCAGAGGUGGCACACAUGGGCCAGCACAAGGCCAGUUGCAGACACACUGUCAAGCCAUGUAAUAACAACAUGUGCUGGAACAUGGUAGCAUGAAAAGAAAUAUGACAAAACUCUGUUCAUACAGUGAAUGGACUAAUUCUGAUAUAGAGCUUUUCUACUUUCCCGGAUUACUCAUAGUGCUCUAUACAACCUGACGCAUUCACUCUGCCAUGACACCAGUUAGUCAGAAGUGCCAGCUUGAUGCCGGAUCCAGGGAAGACCUGUUUUCUAUGAGCCUGGGCCACAUACACCAAACCACAAUCGGGCCAGAUGUGGCAUGCCAUCACAUAAAUAGUGCCAUCUACACCAGGCCUGGCCCAUAUCUGAAUGACAUACCACUUACUAUGCCAGAAGUCAGCCAGCAGUGCCGGCUUGACACCAGAUCUGGCCCAGACCUGUCUGCUAUGUGGGAUGAUUUUAAGCCAUUCUGAAAUAAACCAACAAUGACAUAGAGCUUCAUAGAGCCCCAUUCAUUCUAAAUUAUUUCACAAGUAGUCCCUAUGAAACCAGAGCUCCCAUGAAUGGGAGUUCUCAGUGUUAUUAGAAUUUUUUCUUUUUUAAAUGUUCGGGAUUGACCAGUAAGUGUAAGUGCACAAACAUCAUUUCGCUCCUUACAGCAAUAAUAACGUUAAAUACAUUUUAUGAAAAGGUUUUUAUGCAGGACCAAGUCGAUAUGUUCUGUGAGCGGUGUUGUUCACAAAGCCCAAGCUGUAAUAAACUGGAAUUAUGCCUUAAAGAGAUGAACUUCACAGACUCACAGUUCAGAAUUUGCUCAGCUAAGAUCGUACCUCUUCCUCAUAUUGGCUGCAGAAAGCACUGACUGGCCAGUUUAUCAUUUAUGACAAAUCCAAUAACAUCCUUUAAUAUCCCCCCUGCUCAUGACCCCACAUCAUUGUGAGGUCCUCUGUGAGGGCAGGUUCUACUCAUCGUUUUGUCAUAUGAAAUUCAUUUCCUGUUAAACGCAGAGGCAGCCAUAUGAUUUUUUUUCUUUGUGUUACUGUUGUUGUUUUGUCAUUUCUCUCUGAGGAGGAAUGCCAGACCAUAAGGUGCACGACUGUCAGCCCUUCAGUGACCUGUGUACCACAGCAGACCUGUCCUCGUCUUCAAAAAGAACAAAACUGCAACAAAAAUAAAUCUUUGUGUUCUGCCGAGAAGCGACUAUUCUCUGCUUCUUCUUUUUAUAAACACGUUGGGUGAGAAUCGGGUACUGAGGGAUCGGUGGGGGUAUUUUUUUAUGUUUACAUCUUUUUAGCUUACGUAUUUAUUUUGUCCUUUUUUAUAUUAACUCUUCAGGUGCCAGUGUAAGAUUGCCUGUUCUCUGUCCCGACAGUGCUGAGCCCGAGUGUGUUGUGUGAGUUAAUGUGAGAUACCUGACAGGGUCCUGUUGUGCGAAACAAGAUUAAACUGACCUCGGAGUUCCACUUCUGUGACUGUUUCACUGCACGUGAUGAUUUAUCUUUGUUUGCUCCGUGUUUUGUAUCUUUUUGCUCAUUUGUCAUGUGAACGUGUUUUCAUGUUUUUGUUUGUUACUAUACCAAAAAUAUCAUUCUGUAAGUAUGUUUAUUAUGUGUUUUUGUUUUUUUUACCCUAGUACAGCGAUUUAUGUCUCUAUUUUUUUUAUCCAUUUUCCUUUUAAACUGGCCACACACCUGUAGUUCCUGAGGCUGUUUAAACCCACCCAGUAUUGUCAAGCAUUUAAUGUGGCAUUGUCCCCCAAUAAAAAGGACUCAGACAAACUCUUGCGCCAUGUCUUUACUUAUUGUUUUUUUUCCCUUUUGAUGGAGAUGUUUUUGGGACUUGUGACAACAUCCGUCGUUGCUCUGAUCAACAGUGUCGCUCUGGCAGGCAUCAGUUGUCAAAGGAGGUGUAAGCCCACCAGCCGUGGUCCUUCUUUGGGCUUUGGGCACAUGCCAUCUGAAGCAAUAAUAAAAACAUAAAUCGUAAUGUGCUUGGCUUUCCACACGGAG
Molecule: long non-coding RNA, 2648 nt
Organism: Astatotilapia calliptera (eastern happy)
Lineage: Eukaryota; Metazoa; Chordata; Actinopteri; Cichliformes; Cichlidae
Source: Ensembl